RNAcentral lists this ribosomal RNA (418 nucleotides) under uncultured bacterium. RNAcentral describes it as "bacterial SSU rRNA". It matches the Rfam family "Bacterial small subunit ribosomal RNA", at positions 355 to 771 of the family's 1533-position model. The record is from RNAcentral.
UAAGGAAUAUUGGUCAAUGGACGCAAGUCUGAACCAGCCAUGCCGCGUGAAGGAUGAAGGUCCUCUGGAUUGUAAACUUCUUUUAUCUGGGACGAAAACGGGAUUUUUAUCUCAAUUGACGGUACCCUAUGAAUAAGCACCGGCUAACUCCGUGCCAGCAGCCGCGGUAAUACGGAGGGUGCAAGCGUUAUCCGGAUUUACUGGGUUUAAAGGGUGCGUAGGCGGGCAUGUAAGUCAGUGGUGAAAUACCGGAGCUUAACUUCGGAACUAACAUUGAUACUAUAUGACAUGAAUAUUGUGGAGGUAAGCGGAAUAUGUCAUGUAGCGGUGAAAUGCAUAGAUAUGACAUAGAACACCGAUUGCGGAGGCAGCUUGCUACGCAAAUAUUGACGCUGAGGCACGAAAGCGUGGGGAUCAA